CCUACGGGUGGCAGCAGUGAGGAAUAUUGGUCAAUGGGCGCUAGCCUGAACCAGCCAAGUAGCGUGAAGGAUGACUGCCCUAUGGGUUGUAAACUUCUUUUAUAUGGGAAUAAAAUGCACUACGUAUAGUGCUUUGCAUGUACCUUAUGAAUAAGGAUCGGCUAACUCCGUGCCAGCAGCCGCGGUAAUACGGAGGAUCCGAGCGUUAUCCGGAUUUAUUGGGGUUAAAGGGAGCGUAGGCGGGUUGUUAAGUCAGCUGUGAAAGUUGGCGGCUCAACCGUAACCAUGCCGUUGAAACUGGCAUCCUUGAGUACAGUAGAGGUAGGCGGAAUUCGUGGUGUAGCGGUGAAAUGCAUAGAUAUCACGAAGAACUCCGAUUGCGAAGGCAGCCUGCUGGACUGUAACUGACGCUGAUGCUCGAAAGUGUGGGUAUCAAACAGGAUUAGAUACCCCAGUAGUC
RNAcentral lists this ribosomal RNA (460 nucleotides) under uncultured bacterium. RNAcentral's name for it is "partial 16S ribosomal RNA". It matches the Rfam family "Bacterial small subunit ribosomal RNA", at positions 338 to 795 of the family's 1533-position model. The record is from RNAcentral.